AUUCAUACUUUGCAGAGGAAAUACCAUGUCAUAAGAGUGGUUUUUUCAGGAGGAGGGUCAUGCAUUGUACUUCGGGUAUGCUGUUGAUCCCUAUGAUUUCUUCAAAUGUGGGGAACUCAAUUGCAUAAUUUGCAUUAGUGGUAAAUUACAUUUGUUAUUUCUUU
Molecule: small nuclear RNA, 164 nt
Filed under: Pogona vitticeps (central bearded dragon)
Lineage: Eukaryota; Metazoa; Chordata; Lepidosauria; Squamata; Agamidae
Description: U1 spliceosomal RNA (ENSPVIG00000005052.1)
Rfam family: U1 spliceosomal RNA
About the family: U1 is a small nuclear RNA (snRNA) component of the spliceosome (involved in pre-mRNA splicing). Its 5' end forms complementary base pairs with the 5' splice junction, thus defining the 5' donor site of an intron. There are significant differences in sequence and secondary structure between metazoan and yeast U1 snRNAs, the latter being much longer (568 nucleotides as compared to 164 nucleotides in human).
Source: RNAcentral